This 119-nucleotide ribosomal RNA is filed under the name Trifolium pratense (red clover). Lineage: Eukaryota; Viridiplantae; Streptophyta; Magnoliopsida; Fabales; Fabaceae. The record is from RNAcentral.
AGGUGCGAUCAUACCAGCACUAAUGCACCGGAUCCCAUCACAACUCCACAGUUAAUCGUGCUUGGGCGAGAGUAGUACUAGGAUGGGUGACCUCCUGGGAAGUCCUUGUGUUGCACCUC